CCUACGGGGGGCUGCAGUGAGGAAUAUUGGUCAAUGGACGAGAGUCUGAACCAGCCAAGUAGCGUGAAGGAUGACUGCCCUAUGGGUUGUAAACUUCUUUUAUAUGGGAAUAAAACAGGGUAUGCAUACCCACGUGUAUGUACCAUAUGAAUAAGGAACGGCUAACUCCGUGCCAGCAGCCGCGGUAAUACGGAGGAUCCGAGCGUUGUCCGGAUUUAUUGGGUUUAAAGGGAGCGUAGGUGGAUUGUUAAGUCAGUUGUGAAAGUUUGCGGCUCAACCGUAGAAUUGCAGUUGAAACUGGCAGUCUUGAGUACAGUAGAGGUGGGCGGAAUUCGUGGUGUAGCGGUGAAAUGCUUAGAUAUCACGAAGAACUCCGAUUGCGAAGGCAGCUUACUAAACUGCCACUGACAUUGAUGCUCGAAAGUGUGGGUAGCAAACAGGAUUAGAUACCCCUGUAGUC
This 460-nucleotide ribosomal RNA is filed under the name uncultured bacterium. RNAcentral's name for it is "partial 16S ribosomal RNA". It matches the Rfam family "Bacterial small subunit ribosomal RNA", at positions 338 to 795 of the family's 1533-position model. The record is from RNAcentral.